ACGUGGAAAUGUUACCAGAUGGGACAUUUAGCUGUGAGUGGCUUCAGAUGAGACGAGUCAUCCUCGAAAGGCCAGGGCAGAGAUGCAGCGAAUGCACAUCAAAACAUCAAAUGCUGUCCAGACCUUCUCUCAGGAUGAUUCCACAAUGCACCAGAUUCUGAGUGGAGGCAGGAAUCUCCGGGUGAACAAAAGAAAAACUCUGCACGACUAAAGUCCGUCCAUCCAUUACAGCUGAUCCCAUUGUUCCAAACCCAGAGAGCUACGAGUUGACCCUAGAGGUCAGAUAAUCAGAUGCUCUCCUCUGUGACCUGCUCUAACCUGCAGUUCAGGGGACAGUUUGGAAUAACACCAUGCCUCUCUUCAGCCCGAGAGACAAGCUCAUAUAAUACAGGGAUGCUGUUUUGUUGUGAGAUUGAUAAUUGAAGUUAACAACACUGGUAUGUCUGUCAUUGUAAAAAAACAUGUAUUGCGUAGGUAUGAAACACACAAAACUGACUCUGAGAAUAAGAGGAAUACAAAAACUCCAUCUGGCCAAGUCAGUAUCACUUUGCAGGAUGCAACUGUUUAUGAUUUAAGGGACAAUGGAAUGUUUAGAAUUUUAUUUAUUUUCUAUCUGACCACCUUCUGAAGCGAAAAACCUGCAGCAAAUCCAUAAAGUGGAUAUUUCGUCAAGCUGGAGUGUUAUUAUAGAUUUUUCUCCCUACUACUAGUAACAACUGAAUUAAAUGUAAAAGAUUCCUCAUUACGGUUUGAACAUAAAACAAAGAACUGUCAGCCCUGCUUCUGGCAGUGUCUUGGCAUUAACGCUCAUCUUUUAUAGCAUCAGAGAAAAAAAUGCAACACACAUGAUGGGCUGACAAAAGCAAAACACAGAAGAGACCCCAGAAAAUGGAGGCGAAAGACAGGUAUAAGUGAA
Molecule: long non-coding RNA, 916 nt
Organism: Micropterus dolomieu (smallmouth bass)
Lineage: Eukaryota; Metazoa; Chordata; Actinopteri; Centrarchiformes; Centrarchidae
Exons: 3
Source: RefSeq, a predicted model, not a curated record